AGCCGUUCUUGGAUGACUCACCCCAGAAUCGGGCUCCCUUCUCUCUGGUUCCGGGUGCAUCACCCGAGAACCACA
Molecule: non-coding RNA, 75 nt
Organism: Myotis brandtii (Brandt's bat)
Lineage: Eukaryota; Metazoa; Chordata; Mammalia; Chiroptera; Vespertilionidae
Source: Rfam